CCGAUUUGUUUCGUGUCCAAGUUCAAUUGUCCUGUUCUGUAAUUUGCCUUCCACCCGAAGUUGACUAACUGAUGCAGUUUUUCCCAGCGCCUUUAAAUAGAUGUAGUCUGUUAAACCUACGCAGUGAAUAGGAGCUGAUAAUGUAUUUAACAAGUUGAGAUAGUUUUCGGCUCUACAGCAAAGAAGACAGUUUUACAGGAUAAUUGUAUCGUAAAUUUACGAGUUUCAUCUCAAAUUACUUAAUUUUGGAAGUCGAGAACGGUAGAUUUCAACAUUUUCCGACGCAGAUUAACCCGCCUCCAACGCAACUUUAAUCCGAUAGUUCCACACGUUGGCCACAUAUUAUACGAUCUUUCAUUUUUUAAAAGCGGUAGAUUUGAAUUUGUUUGUUCGGUUUUCAAAUCUCCCUCUUUAUAUUUUUCAUUUUUGACCGAAGUAUAAACGCGGCCCACACUAAUACCUAGGUAAGGGACGGAAUUUUUAAAUUACAACUCUGUAGUCAGUUUUAUUUGUUAAUAAGUUGGUGGGUGUCGGCUUCUGGCCAUGUCUAGGAACAAGCAGUUGAGUGAUUCUACUUCUAAUCUUUGAAUUAUCUUGACGUGAAACGGCGAUAACUGAUAAACGUGAAAGCGGAUAACUGCUGGCACACAAGCAGAAGUUUCAUUGGCUGUCCAACAAAUUUGGGCGCAAUCACCUUGGAGACGGAACGGACGAUGGAAUCAGCCCAGACUUAAUCCAUUUUUGGGGUAUGUGAAAUUUAAUUUUCUUGUGGUUUCAAUCGGGUCUGAUGCCUCGCCUAAUUAUGGUCUGUCGUUGUUAAGUUUACGGCUCAUUCUGAUAUCUGAUGUCUUCCGGGUAUACCACCAAAGAUCAGCAAAUCGAAACGAAAUCUUUUCUUUGUUAAUUUUUUAUCGUAGGGCUGGAAUGUCCUAAUUUGAUUUACUAUUGGGACUUCUGGGUCGAAUUUGUCUCGAUUUCUAUUAACUUUUUUUUCACUUUCCGCCAUUUCAGAUACAUUUUUAUUCCCAUUACUACUGCGAGUAAUCCGAUUUAAGUUGUGGGCAUAAUUAUGUUUGUUUGUUUCAUCGAAUAAACAGGAAUACGAAUUUCUUGUUUUUCGCCUCUCCUCUGCUGUUACUCCAUUGGCAUUUCGUAAUUUUCAUUUCACUUUAAAUUUCCAUCCUCCAUUUCCAUUUUCCUAGUAAUUUGAAAAAAGGUGGGCGGGGGCGGGGCUUUGUUGUCGUAGACUUGGCCAGAGUAAUUUUGUUUCCAUCCUAGAAUAUUAGACCAUUGGAGGUACAGUGAGGACCCUUAAUCCAUUUAAUCAGGACGAAUUCCGGUUUUUCCAUUGUUUGGUAUCCAUUAUCAAUUCCUAUCAUUUGGCCGACCGUUCUGGAAUUCUAUUCCUGUAUCCUGAAGUGGAAUUUAUCAUUAGAAUCUAUCGAAUCCGACAAUUUUAAUACAAUUUAAUUUGGUUGAUAUCUUACCUACAAACGGACCGACACGGGCUUUCCUCUAGAUUUAAUUUCUCGUCUCUAAUCUUCAUCUCCAAUCACUUGUUUGAACCUAACCACAGUUUGUUUGAUAUAAGUGUUAACUUUAAUAUAAUUUUAAUUUUUGUCUCUCGAUACCCACCACCUAUUAAUCAUCAAUCAGCAUCAGCACAGGGGAAUAGAGAGACACUUCUACUCCCCUAAUGUUAAGGAUGUUCAGCAAUGAAUUUAUACGCAGAGUAGUUAAAGUUAAAAGAAACGAUGGUGAAUCUCCUCCGAUUAUUUCCCGUCAAAAAGUUAUUGACUCAGUAAUUGCACGAUUACGUUACAUAAUUUUUCGUAGUCGUUAUUCUGAUGCAAGCAUUGCUCAAUUGCAUUGGAAAUAAUGAUUUGUUUUUUAAAUGUUCUAAAAAUGAGAAAGUUAAUUGCAAAUGACGUCAUUCCGUUAGUUUUAUUCCUUAUUUAGGCUACAUCCAGCAUACACCGUGCCUCUAGCCGUUAACUGUCAAAACUUCCUGCUUUAGCAAGUGUCAAUUUGUGUUUCAUUUUUAUUUGGCUUAUAAAAAUUUCUACUCUCUACUCUGGAUGCCGAUUGGCUGUCGAAUGCUCACUGUCGAAUGAUGGCGGACAUGAAAACGACUAGCAGCACUAGAUACCGUCAAAACUAAGGGAUGUAAGAAAUACUCUUCCCUCGAUCAUGGAUCCCCUUGGAAAAAUAAGGAAUCUAGCUACUACCUCUUAUUUUUAUCUCGUUCUCCAUCCAUUUAAAUUUUUAAAUUUUCUUUCUAGUUACGACGCGGCUGGAGAAACCAAGUGAUGUCCGGUCGACGGAAGCAAAGUUAGCAAAAUCAGAGUAUCGGAAUUACCAGCGGCAUCCGCUUGAUCCAGCGAACAGAGCAAAUGAACUACAUCCAAAUAAAGAGACUGGAUACUGAAAUGUAUGGUUUUAAACAAGCGUGUUGGCUAGAGCUAUUUGAUUCAACCUAUGGGAUUCACCAUGAUCAUUGUGGAAUCUGUCAUCACUUUCAGGUGCUGUGCUUCCAGAUAGCCAGGACCGAAGACAAGGGUCAAUCCUUUUACAGUCCAAAGUUGUAAUCAACAAGGCCAAACAGAUAGCAACAUGAUCGACCAGGUACGACAGGAAAGCAGCAUCAGCCUCCAGUUGAAAAGCUAGUCGCUGAUGGACUGAUUCAACAAGCAAAUCCAACAGCGACGCCCUAUGCAGUUGCUGCUGCCACGUCCUAUUCGGCACCAACCCCAUCCCAAAUCGCUAAUCUAAGUGUAGAAGCAUCGCCUCUAGUUUGACUGCCCAGCAGAUUCAGACGCUUAUCCCUUCACCAAGUCAUUCCUCAUCCAAGGAACGUGGAACUGCGAUCGUGGUUCCAGCAUUCUGCACAAGUUAGAAGAAAAGACAAAGCUACAAAGUCCAGCGUUCUGAGCAAGACGAAGCAAUGAAAUGUUUCACAGCGCAUCACAAACAACUUAGCUGAAGAUUCACAAGCGGAUACCAACGAUGGCAAAAGAAGAGCGUGAAGUAGGAAGAAAUUGCCUCAAACAAACUAAAAAAAGUGAAGAAGGUUUUGAUGUGCAGUUUCGUUAACAACAAAAAAAACCAAUGCAGACUUAUCCAAUCUACCUUGAAGACAAAAUGGAAAAGUCUUCCUUACAAGGGUGGAGAAAAACCGAAGCUACAAAUUAACACACCCAUUCUAUUUUGCUUCAUGUCAAGCUUUUAUAAAUUUUAAGUGUGAUUGAUAAAUAUUUAUGUAUUGUGUAAAAACUAAGUUGAAAAAUAAAACACAUGAAAACAUU
Molecule: long non-coding RNA, 3305 nt
Filed under: Daphnia pulicaria
Lineage: Eukaryota; Metazoa; Arthropoda; Branchiopoda; Diplostraca; Daphniidae
Description: uncharacterized LOC124344339, transcript variant X1
Source: RNAcentral